Long non-coding RNA from Solanum lycopersicum (tomato), 692 nucleotides. RefSeq lists it as uncharacterized. The record is from RefSeq and is a predicted model, not a curated record. NCBI's taxonomy places the organism in Eukaryota, Viridiplantae, Streptophyta, Magnoliopsida, Solanales, Solanaceae.
UAACUUUUUUCAUGAAAAUGAUUUCAUUUAACUACAAUAUUAGGUUAGAAAGUUAAUAUUUCGUCCUAAAAAAUUGAGAUGCUUACAAAUAGUCGUGAUAUUUCAUAUAAAUGAAGUUGUUAAUAUGUCAUAUUUCAAAACUUGUUCAUGCUUAUACAAAAGCAAGUGAAUUUGAUGUUCAUGAUGGUAAUGCUUUUUUCAUCAAAUGGUAUUAGUUAUAAGUAGUUAUUGAUAAAUUUUUGGAAUCUUGAUAUAAUAGUAUGUGAAAGUAUUCAAUUUAUCAUCGUUUAUUUCAAAAUUCUUAAGUAUGUUGUUGAUCUUGUGCACUUUGUUUCAAGCUAACAAGAUCAUUACUUUUAUUUAGCAUUAUAUUACGUUUUGUAAAUCAAUCGAUAAUUUCAAAUAUUUUGAUGAAAAUAAUAUUAUUCACCUAUCAAAAUUACAUUCUAAUUUACUUGCUUUUUUGUAUAAGCCUAAAUGAUGUUUUGAAAAUGUGACAUAUUGAUUAUCUUCUAUUAACGGGUGUUGGCGUCCUUUUAUCUAUAUCCAGAGGCGGAUCCAGGAUUUGGAGAUUGUGGGUGCCACAUCGCCCAAGCAAGAUAAACGGGUUGGUUCCUUUAACUUUGGGUUACAAUUCAUAUUAUUUGUCAUAUUCGAUUUUCAUAAAAUAAAUUGAUUAAAUGUGCAUGUUA